UACGUAGGGGGCAAGCGUUGUCCGGAUUUAUUGGGCGUAAAGAGCGUGUAGGCGGCCAAACAGGUCCACUGUGAAAACUCGAGGCUCAACCUCGAGAGGUCGGUGGAAACCGUCUGGCUAGAGUCCGGAAGAGGAGAGUGGAAUUCCCGGUGUAGCGGUGAAAUGCACAGAUAUCGGGAAGAACACCCGUGGCGAAGGCGGCUCUCUGGGACGGUACUGACGCUGAGACGCGAAAGCGUGGGGAGCGAACAGG
This 253-nucleotide ribosomal RNA is filed under the name uncultured bacterium. RNAcentral describes it as "partial 16S ribosomal RNA". It matches the Rfam family "Bacterial small subunit ribosomal RNA", at positions 524 to 776 of the family's 1533-position model. The record is from RNAcentral.